This 275-nucleotide ribosomal RNA is filed under the name Pelosinus propionicus. Its description in RNAcentral is "partial 16S ribosomal RNA". It matches the Rfam family "Bacterial small subunit ribosomal RNA", at positions 679 to 953 of the family's 1533-position model. Lineage: Bacteria; Bacillati; Bacillota; Negativicutes; Selenomonadales; Sporomusaceae. RNAcentral also lists the same sequence under 1 other name. The record is from RNAcentral.
CGGUGAAAUCGUAGAUAUUAGGAGGAACACCAGUGGCGAAGGCGGCUUUCUGGACUGUAACUGACGCUGAGGCGCGAAAGCCAGGGGAGCGAACGGGAUUAGAUACCCCGGUAGUCCUGGCUGUAAACGAUGGGUACUAGGUGUUGGGGGUAUCGACCCCUCCAGUGCCGCAGUUAACGCAAUAAGUACCCCGCCUGGGGAGUACGGCCGCAAGGUUGAAACUCAAAGGAAUUGACGGGGGCCCGCACAAGCGGCGGAGCAUGUGGUUUAAUUCG